CCUGAUGGAGGGGGAUAACUACUGGAAACGGUAGCUAAUACCGCAUAACGUCGCAAGACCAAAGAGGGGGACCUUCGGGCCUCUUGCCAUCAGAUGUGCCCAGAUGGGAUUAGCUAGUAGGUGGGGUAACGGCUCACCUAGGCGACGAUCCCUAGCUGGUCUGAGAGGAUGACCAGCCACACUGGAACUGAGACACGGUCCAGACUCCUACGGGAGGCAGCAGUGGGGAAUAUUGCACAAUGGGCGCAAGCCUGAUGCAGCCAUGCCGCGUGUAUGAAGAAGGCCUUCGGGUUGUAAAGUACUUUCAGCGGGGAGGAAGGGAGUAAAGUUAAUACCUUUGCUCAUUGACGUUACCCGCAGAAGAAGCACCGGCUAACUCCGUGCCAGCAGCCGCGGUAAUACGGAGGGUGCAAGCGUUAAUCGGAAUUACUGGGCGUAAAGCGCACGCAGGCGGUUUGUUAAGUCAGAUGUGAAAUCCCCGGGCUCAACCUGGGAACUGCAUCUGAUACUGGCAAGCCUGAGUCUCGUAGAGGGGGGUAGAAUUCCAGGUGUAGCGGUGAAAUGCGUAGAGAUCUGGAGGAAUACCGGUGGCGAA
This 595-nucleotide ribosomal RNA is filed under the name uncultured Pseudomonadota bacterium. Its description in RNAcentral is "bacterial SSU rRNA". It matches the Rfam family "Bacterial small subunit ribosomal RNA", at positions 129 to 719 of the family's 1533-position model. Lineage: Bacteria; Pseudomonadati; Pseudomonadota. The record is from RNAcentral.